Ribosomal RNA from Tumebacillus flagellatus, 103 nucleotides. The record is from Rfam. NCBI's taxonomy places the organism in Bacteria, Bacillati, Bacillota, Bacilli, Caryophanales, Alicyclobacillaceae.
CGGAAAGGUCACACCUGUUCCCAUCCCGAACACAGAAGUUAAGCUUUCCAGCGCCAAUGGUACUCGGACCGCAGGGUCCCGGGAGAGUAGGACGUCGCGAGGC